Molecule: long non-coding RNA, 684 nt
Filed under: Buteo japonicus
Lineage: Eukaryota; Metazoa; Chordata; Aves; Accipitriformes; Accipitridae
Description: lncRNA (ENSBJAG00000000694.1)
Source: RNAcentral
ACCUUCCUCCUCCAAAUACAAGAUGUGUCUGUGAAUAUUUGCUAUUCUUACUUCACUUUUAAAAGGUUACCUGGUUUAUUUUAGUUCCCUCCCAACCUAAACCAAAAUAAGUCUGGUUAUAAACCAGAGCACCAUCAACACAGAUAUUUGCACUGGUUCUAUUAGAAGUGGUAUAAAAAUCAGGCCUGUGCUUAAGGUGCUGCAGCAUGCCGUUACAUAGAAGAGGCCUUUCCAGGAGAUGAGUCACUGUUGGAGUCUGUGGGUCUUUCACUAUUUAAUGCCUCUAUUUUUUUCCUUUGGUCAAGUUUCUGAAAUAUCAGAGCAGCAAUAUUAUUUCUCAAAAAGAAAUUAGCCAGAUUCUCCAAGAGGCAGCAGAAGCCAACUUAGCAGAGCUGCCUGAGGCCACAUCUCGUGCUCUUCACCUCUUCCUUUGUCAGAUUCAGAGCAGUCAUUGCCAGGUGGAGCCAGUGCAGUCAAGGACCAUUCAGACCUUGCUGGAGCGCCUUGUGGGACAGAGGACUGCAUGUGUAAAACAUCAGGACAUUGUAUGUCUGGGAAGCGUGGCAGUGUCCCUCUCGCACAUUGGAGACUGAAAUGAGAAGGUGGGGUGCACGCAGCAGAGGAGCGGGGAUGGAUCAGGAGACCCCAUCCUGCCCUUUAUUCCCAGCGGGCAGUAGAGGGAAG